CGCAGGUGGAGGUACCUUUGUGCUUUGUCUUAAGUCCUUUCUCGGCAAGGCCACAUCAGCUGUUUGACAGUGCCUCCUCUUCCUUACAGUGUCCCCCUCUCCCCAGCUCUGCUGGCCUGGACUGUCACCUGUCUUCU
Molecule: long non-coding RNA, 137 nt
Filed under: Ictidomys tridecemlineatus (thirteen-lined ground squirrel)
Lineage: Eukaryota; Metazoa; Chordata; Mammalia; Rodentia; Sciuridae
Description: lncRNA (ENSSTOG00000029363.1)
Source: RNAcentral